Molecule: non-coding RNA, 82 nt
Filed under: Stenotrophomonas koreensis
Lineage: Bacteria; Pseudomonadati; Pseudomonadota; Gammaproteobacteria; Lysobacterales; Lysobacteraceae
Description: SAH sequence
Rfam family: SAH (S-adenosyl-L-homocysteine) riboswitch aptamer
Source: Rfam by way of RNAcentral
CAUUUCGAGGGGCGCUGCGACCGUGGGAUCGACCACCGGCCAGGCUCGAAUGGUCUCCAUGUACCAACGGCGCCCGGCAAAC